AUGGCGUGGAUGAGUUGGGACAAGAUGAAAUUGCCUAAAUCUAUGGGGGGCAUGGGCUUUAGGGACAUGAGAGCUUUCAACCAGGCCUUGCUGGCUAAGCAAGCGUGGAGACUGCUUGAUACUCCUACAAGUUUGUGUGCAAGGUUAUUGAAAGCAAAAUAUUUCCCCUCAGGUCAUCUUUUGGAUAUCGUGUUUCCGAAUAGUGGAUCUGCAGUGUGGAAAGGUGUAUUGCAUGGACUUGAGCUGCUGAAAAAAGGAAUUAUAUGGUGUGUAGGUGACGGGGCGCAAAUCAGAACUUGGCGU
RNAcentral lists this ribosomal RNA (303 nucleotides) under Triticum aestivum (bread wheat). RNAcentral's name for it is "partial small subunit ribosomal RNA". The record is from RNAcentral. Lineage: Eukaryota; Viridiplantae; Streptophyta; Magnoliopsida; Poales; Poaceae.